Molecule: long non-coding RNA, 1353 nt
Filed under: Rattus norvegicus (Norway rat)
Lineage: Eukaryota; Metazoa; Chordata; Mammalia; Rodentia; Muridae
Description: long non-coding RNA NONRATT017240
Source: RNAcentral
UUCAGUGAGUGGCCUGUGGGGCCCUGCCAGGUUGAGGCUCAGAAAAGGCUGGCUGCAAGGGUAGGGCUGCUAGCCUCUGUCUAGCCCCUUUCUUUGUCUGCCGCCCCCACCCUACCCCCAGCCUCUCCUGCCUCCUCUUCUACCCUUUGUCCAGAGAGUUAAACUCUCUGGUGUUACUUCUAGGGAGGGGGAUGAGCCAAGUGCACACUGCACACAGUAGGUACAAGAAUCUCCCUUACCUGGAGGUGGGGAGAGGCACCCCCAGGAAAACGGAACAUCAAGCUUAGAAAUCUGGAGAAAGGUCAUUUUUGUCAACCCAAGGCCAGGGGCAGACAACAUCUAUAAAACAGAAAACAUGGGAUUGUGCCCCUGACCACAGAAAAACAGACAGGAGUGAACACCUGCCCUUGGGAGUGUCUGGGCACAGUGCAGUCCCCUCUGGCUUCUCUAUCCUGUAUUCAUCCAUCAAACCUUCAUUGAUCUGAUUUCCCCCUACUGUUCCAGUCCCUGAGGCAAGGAAAGGGACCUUCCUUCAGGGCUUACCCCAGUGGGCAACUAUUCUCUCUCCUUCUCUGUGUAGGAUUGGGGUGGGGAAGGGCUGGCAAGGUCCUGAGGGCCAACAGAGCCCAGGUCAGAUGCCAGAGUCCCUGCUUUCUGGCUUUUCGAGGUUGUCGUCCAAACGGUGCAAACAGGAUGAAAGGGAUUUGAUGGGCCGCAAAAUGCAACUCAGGUGCAGUGGCUGCCUACUCGGUCAGUCACUCUACCACUAAAGAGAAGGCAGAGGGGAAAGGCCAGUCUGCUCUCUGUCCCAUGAGGGACUAAUAUCCAAGUGCCCAUGAUGAAUGUAAUUAGCUGACCCAGAGGCCAGCCUUGCUUGUGUCUCAGUGAGGGUGGCCCCCCUUCUUUCCUGUCUUAGCUGAGCUUCCCAAGACAGCACUCAUGGGCCACCUCAGGUCACACAGUGUAUUUGGUGAUCGAGUGUCUAUCUGUGAAUUUGCACAUGUACUCAUGUGCAUGCUCCUAUGUGCAUACAUGCAGGCAGGCCUGCUCUCACACAUGUCCAAGAGUGUUAUUCCCUUCAUGUCAGUAGCGUAGCAGCUUCUGAGUCUUUCCCUAUCACCUUUACUUCAAGGAGGGAAAACAAAAUUCAUCCAUGCCUAUGGUGUGGGAGACGAAAGUCUAACGGAAAACCCACCAAGGCUAUCGAUCAAUACCAGCUAAACGGGAAUGAGAAUGGGACAGAUAGACACAUGGAGCCUAGGAGGGGAGCUCGAGGAGCGGACUGUGUCAAUAUAAAGUUAGAUACUUGGAAGACAUAAAACUGCUAAAUAAAAUAUUUUAUAUGAAAUCUUU